GGAAGUUACACAACUGACUUGAACUAUGAAGAUGAAUGCCAUCUCUGCUUUGGAGACUGCAACCCUAAGUUUCAUCUUAAAGUGGUUCAGAACUGCACCAGUACGUCUGAUAUGAAAUGUGACUGCGAGGAUGGUUUUAGAUGCAUCAGGUGGGCCCAUGACAAAAAGAACUGCUUGUCUUGUGAGAAGAUGCCAGACCCAACCCCAACCAAAGCAGCAGCUACAGAGAUCUCAGUCAGAGAUAAACACACGCCUUUCUCAGUUUCCUCCGGACAUACCAGCACUUCUCCCAAACCCUGCCAAUCUCCAGGGUGUCACCCAACGAAAGAGCCGAAUCCCACGGGAGGUCAUGCCAACCAUUACCUGGCAGCUAUUUUCAUUCCAGUGGGUGUCCUUGCAACUUUGGCCCUUCUCACCUUGUUCUGUGUCUGUCGUCCAAGAGAUGAGACAUAUAUAAGGCAAACUAUUGCAAAGCUCUGGAAUGAGGAAGGGCGAGGUGCUUCUCACAAGUCAAGGGAGCCAACUCAUCAGUUCCCCAGAGACUCAUUCAGUACAAAGCAGCAGCCCUCAACACCUUCAGCAGCCAAUCUUGGUCCAGUCCAUGUGCACAAUCCAGGCACAGUCAUCUUUAGCUUGCUCAGUCAAUUUACGGGUCAAGUCGGGCCAACGACCGAAUGUGGGAAGACGGCUGAGAGAGCGAGGAGAGAGGAAGAGGAUGAGAGAAACUGUCCAGUGUUUCAUCCUGCAUCUUCUCCCAGCAUUCAUCUCUCUGAGGAGGAGAGGAGUGGAGAGAAUGACACCAUUUUCUUCCCUUCCCAGGAGCAGGGGAAAGACUCCCACAUGUCGAAAGAGGAGAUCCUAUGAUGCAUCUCAAAAAAUUCAGAAGACUUGGAUACAACAAACUUUGAAACCACAGAUGAGUAUGGAUCAUAUUCGUCUUUCCUCAGCAAGCUGCGGAUGCACUGACUUUGUUUCUGCAGCUUCUGGAAAACACUCACCUCAGAAAUGUAUUAAAUCUCGGAAGAACAGCUGCAAAGUGGUCUUCUUUGUAAGUUAUGAUUUACGAACUCUUGUAUAUACUUUUAAUAAGCUUCUUUGGCUCAGUGCAAAGAAUGCCAUCCAAGGUGUAGAAAGCUUUGUUAGGUAGUUAUUAGGUAG
Long non-coding RNA from Astatotilapia calliptera (eastern happy), 1158 nucleotides. Lineage: Eukaryota; Metazoa; Chordata; Actinopteri; Cichliformes; Cichlidae. The record is from Ensembl.